Molecule: ribosomal RNA, 315 nt
Filed under: uncultured bacterium
Lineage: Bacteria
Description: bacterial SSU rRNA
Rfam family: Bacterial small subunit ribosomal RNA
Source: RNAcentral
AUUGAACGCUGGCGGCAUGCCUAACACAUGCAAGUCGAACGGCAGCAUGGAUUGUAGCAAUACAAUCUGAUGGCGAGUGGCGGACGGGUGAGUAAUCCGUAGGGAUUUGCCUUAAAGAGGGGGACAACCCGGGGAAACUCGGGCUAAAUACCGCAUACUACUCUGAGGAGGAAAGGUUUAGGUUAAACCAGACGCUUUAAGAUGAACCUACGGCCGAUUAGCUAGUUGGUGGGGUAAGGCUUACCAAGGCGACGAUCGGUAGCUGUUCUGAGAGGAAGAUCAGCCACACUGGGACUGAGACACGGCCCAGACUCC